RNAcentral lists this ribosomal RNA (744 nucleotides) under uncultured bacterium. RNAcentral's name for it is "bacterial SSU rRNA". It matches the Rfam family "Bacterial small subunit ribosomal RNA", at positions 8 to 796 of the family's 1533-position model. The record is from RNAcentral.
AGAGUUUGAUCAUGGCUCAGAGCGAACGCUGGCGGCAGGCUUAACACAUGCAAGUCGAGCGGGUGUAGCAAUACAUCAGCGGCAGACGGGUGAGUAACGCGUGGGAACGUACCUUUUGGUUCGGAACAACCCAGGGAAACUUGGGCUAAUACCGGAUAAGCCCUUACGGGGAAAGAUUUAUCGCCGAAAGAUCGGCCCGCGUCUGAUUAGCUAGUUGGUGAGGUAACGGCUCACCAAGGCGACGAUCAGUAGCUGGUCUGAGAGGAUGAUCAGCCACAUUGGGACUGAGACACGGCCCAAACUCCUACGGGAGGCAGCAGUGGGGAAUAUUGGACAAUGGGGGCAACCCUGAUCCAGCCAUGCCGCGUGAGUGAUGAAGGCCCUAGGGUUGUAAAGCUCUUUUGUGCGGGAAGAUAAUGACGGUACCGCAAGAAUAAGCCCCGGCUAACUUCGUGCCAGCAGCCGCGGUAAUACGAAGGGGGCUAGCGUUGCUCGGAAUCACUGGGCGUAAAGGGUGCGUAGGCGGGUCUUUAAGUCAGGGGUGAAAUCCUGGAGCUCAACUCCAGAACUGCCUUUGAUACUGAAGAUCUUGAGUCCGGGAGAGGUGAGUGGAACUGCGAGUGUAGAGGUGAAAUUCGUAGAUAUUCGCAAGAACACCAGUGGCGAAGGCGGCUCACUGGCCCGGUACUGACGCUGAGGCACGAAAGCGUGGGGAGCAAACAGGAUUAGAUACCCUAGUAGUCC